Lampris incognitus (smalleye Pacific opah) is the source of this 790-nucleotide long non-coding RNA. RefSeq lists it as uncharacterized. The record is from RefSeq and is a predicted model, not a curated record. The transcript has 4 exons. Lineage: Eukaryota; Metazoa; Chordata; Actinopteri; Lampriformes; Lampridae.
UCACCGCUCGGCACGGACACAUGCAAUAGGCCGCGAUGGCGCCAACCUCCUGGCCUCGGCGAGGAUGCAGGGCUGUGGUCAGCUUCCGUUUGCCCGAGAAGAGCGAGCGCAGGACACACCUUAUGGUAGGUAAGACGACCACCCCUCGGCUACCCUGUGAUGACGACAUCGACGGCGAUGAUGAUGAUGAUGAUAUGGAGGGAUUGUUGAUUGCUGACUCAAGACCAAGAACCAUUUGCUGAGACAUUACCAGAUGACGACAGGGUGAACAGAAGCCAUCAGACUGCCUUAUGAAGAUGCUUUUACUGGAGCGACUGAACCAACCACGGCGAGUACAUCCACGACUUGCUCACAACAGGCAUCUGUGUGAAGGUUUAUCUGCAAACCGGAAAAAGUGGCUGGCCACUAUGGCUGACAGGGCUGAGUCCUUGAGGAGAUCAUGUGUCUGUGGAAAGUACAGGAGGCACUGAUGUUUGAGCUUUUUAAACGAAUGUCCCCCGUUAUUGCUCCUUUCCCCGCUGUCUCCGCCUGGCCCCUUUUUCAACAUCUCUAUGACAGUGGACCUAUGGCUUGGAGGAGUGCUGUAUUGACAUAUAGCAGUAAAUGGUAUUGUGUUUAUAUUGUAGGAUAUACCCUGAUACAUGGGAGGAUGUGAAUGAUACUAUUAUAUUGUUGACAUUGUUUUGGUCUUUCGUCUUGACGGCUUCAGACGAGUUCCUUGUUUUUCACUUGCAUUUUCACCUUCAGAUUUUAUGUUUCACUUCAACCACUGUUGUAUAUGAAUAGUAAU